RNAcentral lists this ribosomal RNA (253 nucleotides) under uncultured bacterium. RNAcentral's name for it is "partial 16S ribosomal RNA". It matches the Rfam family "Bacterial small subunit ribosomal RNA", at positions 524 to 776 of the family's 1533-position model. The record is from RNAcentral.
UACGGGGGGGGCAAGCGUUGUUCGGAAUUACUGGGCGUAAAGGGCUCGUAGGUGGCCAACUAAGUCAGACGUGAAAUCCCUCGGCUUAACCGGGGAACUGCGUCUGAUACUGGAUGGCUUGAGUUUGGGAGAGGGACGCGGAAUUCCAGGUGUAGCGGUGAAAUGCGUAGAGAUCAUGAGGAAGACCAGUGGCGAAGGCGGGUCUCUGGACAGUUCCUGACACUGAGGCACGAAGGCCAGGGGAGCAAACGGG